Mus musculus (house mouse) is the source of this 33780-nucleotide long non-coding RNA. RefSeq annotates it as predicted gene, 54156. The transcript is spliced from 2 exons. NCBI's taxonomy places the organism in Eukaryota, Metazoa, Chordata, Mammalia, Rodentia, Muridae. The record is from RefSeq and is a predicted model, not a curated record.
UGUAUGUUUUCAUUCUUUCUGCUGGACCUCAGGUAUUUCAGUCCUUUUCCCACACCCAAUACCUGAUCAUGUUCCCUCUCUGCCCAUCCCUCAACCCCUUUGCCUGCCUCCCUCCCUUCUGCCUUGUGGUUGAUUUCUUCUCCUUCCCAAGUGGGACUGAGGCAGGGCCCUUCAGCUUGUUGAUCUUUUUGAGUUCCGUGGGCUGAAUCUUGGGUAUUUGGCAUUUUUUUUUUUAGUUUUUAUUUUAUUUUUUAUUUUUUAUUAUUUUGGCUAAUAACCAUUUAUUAGUGAGUACAUACCAUGCAUGUCCUUUUGGGUCUGAGUUACCUCACUCAGGAUGAUAUUUUCUAGUUCCAUUCAUUUUUAAAAUUGUCCUCACAUAAAGUCAAUAACCAUUAUUAGACAUAAAUUAGUUGUUAAGAGGAUAUUGUUUCAAAUAAGCAUAUUUUAUUUGAAAGAAAACAUGGUGUGAACGCACGUGUACACACAGACAGACACACACAGACACACAGACCGACACAAACACACACACACACGCACAUGCACAGACACACAGACACACCAGAGACUGCUACUCAGUCAAAACCUAUGCGUUAUUCUGUGAUCCUGUGAUUUGCCACAUGACAAAUAUGCAAAGCAUCCUCUUUCUCAGAUACCCCGGCAGCUGUCAUCUCUUCUAAUGUUCAUGUUACUCAAAAUUACUUACAAAAUUCAUGUCUCUACUUACCUAUAGUGAACAAAAAUCAAAACAAAAUUUUGUUUCAUACGGUAUAAAUUACAAAUCAUGUAAACCGACAUGUCUCCUUCCAUUGCCCCUAUAUACCCAGUCCUCCCCCUCUCUGAUUUGGGCUAUAGAUCGCCUAUGUAGAUCCCCAUGGUGGUUCACUUCUUGCAAUAUUUUCAUUAUUACAUUUAUCAUACAAAGUGGCAUUAUAUUUUUUAAUUAACCAUCAGGUUUUUUUUAAAUCUCUCUGUCCCUAUAUCCUUUCACUCGAGAGUUACUAAUUUUAUUCUUCUAUUAAUUUGAUAUGGUCUAAUGUUUCCUCUAAUUUAUUGUUUUCUUUGUGGGUAGUUCAGACAUUCUGGAUCUGUUACAGCUACAUUUAUCAACUUACAUGAAGUGAAAAAAAAAUCCUGUUAUUCUGUAAUUUUGCAAAAUAAGCUGUUCUUUUCUUUCUUGGAUCUUCUAUGGCUAAUAAACUAUUUUUAAAAAGCUUUAUUAAUAUUAAAAACAUCUUGAGAAUUUGUUUCAAAUGUGUUCACUUGUAAGUGAAAUACAAAUCCAUUGUUGGUUAAAAUGCAUUGGAUAUUAGUCCCCUAAAAAAAUGCAACUCAGAUACCCUCUUCACCUUUCAAGAAAGAGUCUUUCUUUCAUUCAAGGUUUUAGCAACUGGCUUUUAUGGUCAAACCAUACUAUGAUGGUUAUCUCAGUUGUCAAAUUGAUGGUUCCUAGUAGUAUCUAGGAGACAAAACAUUGGCUAUGCUUGUGAGGAAUUAUUUAGAAUAACUUAAUUUACAUUUAGAAAAACAAUCACUUUGGUAACAGCAUACCAUGAGUUGGGGUAAUAGAAUGGAUGAGAAAGAGAAUGGGUGUUGAAUGUGAGCAUUUGCUGGGCUUUGCAUUCUCAUUGGCUGUGAUCAGUUGCCUCUUUAGCCUGGUCCACACCCUUCCCUUCCCUGAUGCACUGUGUACUCUGUAACUGGAAUCCAAAUGAAAUGUUUUCUUCUUUUUGUUGUAUUUAUUAGUAUAUUGUCACAGCAACAUUAAAGUAACAAAGACACAUAUUAAUAACUUCUGACAAAAUUAUAAAAAUGUGUUUUCAUUAAAGUAGAGGGAGGAGGAGGAGGAGAAUAGGCCACAUAAUAUGAAGUAAUAGUUGCAAAUAUUCUAGCUAUAGAGAGGAAACCAUCAAGAUGUAAACAUACAGAGUAACUGCAAUAAGAGUUGAGUGAGUUGGAAAAAUAGGCUACGCAUCCUACAGUUUCCCCAUAGGUGACAGUGAAGCAGAAACCUUUCAAACAUUAUACCUGUACCUUGCAACAUUGAAUCACUGGAAAUGUCCUUAGCAGAUGUGAACGAAAUUCUGUGACAAAUGUUCUUGGCUCUCCAGCUAGCCCUGCUAGAAAAACCUCAAUCUGUCUAGGUCUAACUGCAGUUGACACCACUUACUCUUCCAUCUGGGUAUUAAUUAAUGUUAAUUAAAUUAAUGGUAUUAUUAAUCCUGUGCAGAGAUUAGUGUCGAUCUCACUGUAGACACAAUUUCUGGGCCAGGGCAACCAUGCCAGCACUCCUCCAGCUAGCUAGAGUAUGAUUUCAGAAAGGAGACGGGCAGAAAAACAGCACCGAGUUGUUUAUAUGUUCUCAAUCUCAUAUGUAACGUCGUUCUCCAAGAUAAUUAAAAAUUUGAACAAGUCAACCUUCUCCUAAUGGGAAACAUUUACACGUAGAUAACAUUUCUUAUGGGUGCUGGACCAGCAGUCUCAAUUGAACUGGAACCCCUAGAUCUCUCAAACACUGGACCAACAAACAGACAGUAUCCAGGGUGGGGGCAUCCACAUAGAGACAGGGUGGGAUGGGGAGGAGGUAUGGGGUGUAGAGCGGUCAGAGGGUGGAUGGGGGGGAUGAGAAUGGAAUAUGGAGUGUAAGAAAUAAAUUAGUUUAAAAAAUACUUAGAGAAUGUUCCUGCACUAAUAUUAUCAACUUAUAUUCAACUUCCUUUACUUUGAGAUCUAUUAACAUCUCAAAGAGAUAGUCUACAUCUGGUACAUUUCUCACCUAAUUUUCUUAAAUUGCUUUCUGAAACAAUCACCUUUGAGAAAGCUUCCAAGUUGCAAAGCCAGUAUCUUCAAAUUCAGCCGCAGUGAUGCUGCUCCAUUUUUUCCCUCAUUUUUUAUUUCAUGUCUCUACUUAAUGUCAAUUUUUAUUUCUCCUGUCCUUCCUAUUUCUCAGUUGGUAGAUGUUCUUGAAAGUAAUACCCUUUGCAGGCCUCUUUCCUCUAAUUCAGUGUCUUUUACAAGAUAACCUCCUGUAGGACUGCAUCUUUGUUCGCCAUAAAAAUAAAUUCAAGUUCUAGAAUUACGUAGUAAAAUUUUACACUCACAUAAGCAGUAACCAAAUAUAUGCUAGAAGAAAAUGGCUAAUUGGUUUGCAUUCUGAUCCCCACUGGGACUUCAAAUGCAAAUGUCAGUAAAGUUUAACCAGCUUUAUGCAUAUCUAAAAUUUUGACACCAUGCCAAGACACAUUUUUGUUUCCUCAAGAUACACUGUGUGCAGCAUAGUAUACACACCUGUAAUCCGAACACUAAGAAAAACAAAGCAGAACUAUUGCUUGGAAUCCUAGGCUACCCUGAGCUACAAAAUGAAUCCUAGGUCAAUGAAGUCUUAAGAAACUAAUUAAAUCAUUAAUUGGUUAAAGAUAAGUAGUCACUUUCCAAUGCCCUGAACCUUGCACUUUUGGGGCUUCCUUACUGUGUUUAUCUUAAUAUUAGAUUCUCCGUUGAAACUUCAUUCUAUGGCACUAUUCAUAAUUUAAUGUCCUAUCCAUAGAGGUUCACUUUUAAAUGGCAAUCUGAUAAUGCUUGACACAGAAUGUGGAAAAGAAAGUUCCAGCUGAUCUCUACACUGCAGCUAUUCCUGGUGUGAUCAGUUUCCAUUGGCCACAGACAACACUGCAUUGAUACUGUGAAAAACAUGUACAUUCCAUCUGGAGAACACAUUUGAGCAAGGUGACUCCAGGGAAAUCGUCACUUACCCCUGUGAGGUGCCCCUCCUGUACUUCCUGGCUCUGGACAGACAAACCCUCAGCAGGAUUUAAAGUUGACACUUGAUCUGACAUCAGGGUCAGAGAGGUGAACUGCAGUUGAGUGACGACUGACAGACAGCCCGUAGAAAGUAAGAUGUUUACUUCUUUGCUGUGUCCUUACCAAGGACAGAUUCUGCCAGUGUCCUUCUCCAAGCUCCACCUCUAUGAGUGAUUCGGAAUGUUCACUUGAAUACAUUGUUUGCAGUAACUUCUAUCCAUGAUACAUUGGGAGCACCCACUAAUGCCCAUAGGUAGGAUGCUUUUCUGUUCAAAGCCCCACCCCUCCCAAAAGGUUCUUAUUUCUACAUCACCACAUUGUUACAUGGCUCCUAGCUUUAGCAGGAAACAAGAUGUAUGCAUGCAUUGGUGGUUAUGAAGGGAUGUUUACUGAUUUUUGCCUCUUCCCAAUCCUUCAUGUGCAUGUCUACAUCAUGUCUAUAUUUUAACUGUCCUCAUUCUUUACCUUAAAAUGAAGGUAAAUCUAUGUGCUCUACCAUUUUUAAUACUGGUUCCAUGUUGGAAAGUGCCUACGGACUGUCCCUGGGAGAAUACCUACUAUUCAUCUAAGUUGAUAAACACACAAUGAAGAGGAAGGUGGGGGAAUGACAUUUUUCUAGUUUUGUAUGUUCUCAAAAAAUCUUUUUUUUUAAGUUAAAUCUAUCCCAGAUAAAAUAAAGUCAAUGCAAUUAAAAGAAAUUUACUAAUGAAAAGAUAAUCUUAGCUAUCAACCUGUGUGUGUGUGUGUGUGUGUGUGUAAAUUACUUGUUUGAUUCUAUGAAAAAUAUAAUUCCCUAUCAUUUAUUUGUAGGCAGAUUGAUAUUUUCAGUGACAACAGUAUAAAUAUGUGACUUUCUUAACCUACGAUAUAUAUAUAUAUAUAUCCCAUAUAUAACAUAAAUCUCAUAUACAUUAUAUAUUAUAUAUCUCAUAUACCACUAUGUAUCAUUUGUUUUGUUUAUUUGAAUAGUUUAUUUAUUUGUUGAUAUAUAAUCUUAUUAUAUAUCUUAUAACAGUAUUAAAAUUACUAAUGUCCUCUGUCUCCCAGUCUUACUGCCCCACCCAGUACCAGGAUUUAGAUGUUUCCCACAGUGCUUUGCUAUAUGCUCAUUCUUUUGACUAACAAGUUUAAGUGUCUAUUCACUCAAAGUGAAGCUCUGAACAUAAAGGGGAAAUGUGAUAGGUUUUCCUCUGAAGGAGAUCUUAUCUACUAGAAAAAAAUUUACAUGUUGUCCAUGUCAAUCACUAAUAAUUAGCCAAAUUUGUCCUGGCAAUAAAUACAGUGACAGAUGUCAAGGCUAGAUUACUCUAGGGUUCAAGCCAAGCAAUGAGCCAUGACAAUUCACUUAGUGGUUCCAAAUCAAAUAUAUUAAAAUGUCAUUGCAUAAAUAAUGAGGUAUGAAAAUCACAGGAUCACUAUUUCAUAGAAGAUAUUUAGUUAUGAAUUCUAAAUGAUUCUUCUAAACAAUGGAAUAGGAAGAAUGUUGAUAUUUCUUAUUCUUGAACAAGAAAGUUUUCAGUUAUUUGAAAUGUUUUGCUAUACAUCUUUAUAUUAGUAACUUCACAAGUUUUUUUUCCAAAUGCAUUUAGUAACAUAGCUUAUCAAAGCAGAAACAAAUUAACCCAGCUUCACUAACUACCUUAUUUUUAAAUGUCUAGCUACUAUACUGAUCCUGACCUGGUGAGACACGGCCUUGCUUUCAUUGUUAUACCAACUACUUUAUAGACAGAUGGGAUAAUUAGUGACAAAAUAUAGUCCACUAAAUCCAGUGUGUGCCAUCCUUCCAUGUCCAUAAACAAAUUAAAUCUUCUAUAUUAACAUUUUUGGAAAAUAUAUAUAUGAGAGGACCAAACUCAGCUUUCUUAUAAUGUAAUCCUUGUCGCUAAGGAGACUGUUCUCAGGAAUCACUGAUAGACAAAUAUUUUUAUUUGACUGUACUUUGUAAGCAUGGUCUUUGAAGUCGUCUCACGUAGGAACUAAAUGAAAUGAGUUUAUAUUCUUCUCUUUCAUUUGCAACCACAAUUUUAAUCCAGCAUAGCCAAGGAAGAUCUGUUAGCUUAUUUUUAAUUUCCUUUUUUAAUCUCCUUUUAAAAUAAUCACUUUUAAUAUCCCCCACAUGGUACAGUAAUACAGUCUGCGUUAGUCUGAUGUUUAAAGAUACACAUCACAUGAUUCAUUGUAUCAUUCCAAUGAUGAAUAUAUUUUUAUCAGUCUUUGAGGUGAUGUGCAAUUCUGAUGGUACUCAUGAAACACCAUGACACCAAGUCAACUUGGCUGUUAGGAUUGAAAUUGUUAGGUCAAAUCAGCCUCUUUCAUCAGACUUUAUUCAUAUUGCUACAUAUCAGACAUGCCAAUCAUCUGGUUUGGUGGCUUAAAGAAUCGUCCUAUUCGCAAUCAAAUAAUGCAGUCUAUUCCCUGGCAGUUAGAAUAAUGAUCUUCUGUUUGUAGGAACUUCUUUUCAUCUUCUAUUCUUUGAAACUUAACUGUAUGCAUUUAUUAGCAUUAUAAUUAUUUUAUUUGGACAGGUUGGACAGUCUACCAGUUAGACUCUCCAGUCUAUAUAUUAUCAAAAUGAAAAAAAAUCACUUGGUUUUAAAAAUAAAUUUUAGCAAAUAUUUGGACAAUAUGAAGACUUCAAAGUGUAUAUCAAGACAAUAUAAAGUUUAUGUAAAGAAUAUGAACUUUAUAUAUUGCCCAAAUAUGUCAAUAUGGGCAUCUUGCAUCUCUGAAUAUUUAUACUAAAUUAACAAAAGCUAUACAUUUGUUAUUAAUUGCAUUCAAUUGUUUUCUACAAAUACAAUUUUGUAUUUGACUUUGAGACUGAAACAGCAUAUCACAUAUUAUGAUAUAUUUAUUUACUUAUUGAAAAUGGAGACAGAUAAAUAUAUAUUCAUACAAAUACAAUUUUCUCUUCACAGAAGUCUACAAUUAAUAGCAACAACAUCAAAAGUCCAACUAUAAGUAGGUGCCUCCUAAAUCCUAGGUCUGUAGCAUGAUUAUAUUUAAAUACUCAAUCCACAGAAGCAUAUAUCAGGUAUCUGCUCCACAGAAGCAUAUAUCAGGUAUCUGCUCCACAGAAGCAUAUAUCAGGUAUCUGCUCCACAGAAGCAUAUAUCAGGUAUCUGCCACUGAUCUUAUCAAACCUGACUUCACUCACAAUGCAAAGAGCUGUCUGUUUCAACACCAUUACUUUUCUUAUUAUUUCCUUUUCUUACAACUUUUUCUCCCAUCAGUGUAAAGUACCUAUUGUAAUUCUUAAGACUGCUGUUUUUCUGCCUGUUAUUCUAAACCAAUAAUAGAUUGAUAGAAAGCCAGACUCUCUGUGGUGUGGCAGUCUUGUGAGUACACUUGAUGAAUGUUUUUCUUACUGUUUCCCAAUUUUGCUUUAUUCAUCUUGCAACUAAAGUCUACAAAGUAUCUUUUCUCUAAAGUGGGGAUUGGCCGGGAAUGGUGGCACACGCCUUUAAUCCCAGCACUUGGGAGGCAGAGGCAGGUGGAUUUCCGAGAGUUCCAGGCCAGCCUGGUCUACAAAGUGAGUUCCAGGAUAGCCAGGGCUGUACAGAGAAACCCUGUCUCAAAAAAAAAAAAAAAAAAAAAAACAAAAAACAAAAAACAAAAAAAACAAAAAAAACAAAAACCAAAAAAACAAAACAAAACAAAAAAACAAAAAAAAAGACUGUUAAAGUGGGUAUUGGUUACUGGGUCCCACACUGCCAAAAGCAAAUGAAUCACUGAACUAAUGAAGCACCCACCAGCGAUGUGACUCCUCCUGGCGACUAAUUAUUAAAGUGAAAAUAUAAGAGUAAGUGACAUUUACAGACUUAGCACAUGCCAGGAAUGAUACUAUACCUGCAUUAUGAUAAAGCAAUGAGUCUUUCUUUUAAGUUUUAAAAAAAAAUUUAUUUGUUGAGCGUGUAUCCAAGUGUAAAAUGUGUGUUUAAGAGCUUUUCAGUGUGCAUGGUCUAUUGCUCACAUGUGGAGGUUAAAGGAAAAGCUUGUGAGCGAGUUAAUUCUCUCUUUCCACUGUGGAUUCCUGGAAUCAAACUCGGGUCAUCAGGUCAUCGGGUUUGCACAGCUAAUUCAUUUCAUCAAUGCUCCUCUUUCUUCUAGGUAAAAGAAAAUGGAGAACCAUAGGGUUAAAUUUCCAGGAUACUACUAGUAAGAGAGAAGAGAUGGGGACUCAAAGGGUUAAACUAAAAUUUAAUUACCAUGUUACUUGAAGUUUUUUUUUAUAGGAUUCAAUUAAUUAUUACACUACUGAUUCUAGAAUUAGAGAAAAUUAGGGGCAAUGAAUUCAAACCUGGUACUCAUAUCACCAGCAAGGGCAAUCACAAGAUUUACUGCACGUAAUUAUGGUUCCUUUUCUAGGAAUAUUCCAUAACAACCAUGAAGAAAGUUAAGUAGACAAAUAUAGAUACAGUAUAAUCAUGGUAUAUAGAGUUGAUGUAGAAUCUUGGAAACUUAAAAUGAGAAUGUGUAAAUAAAAGGGGCCAUUGACUAAAGUGAAAGGCAGUACUGAUUUUAUGCUAUGUACUUCUAGGCAUUAUUACUAGCUGUUUUUCAAGAAAGAAACAAGAACACAUGCACAGAAGAAUAAGGUUUUUGUUUGGUUGUUCCAAUAGCCCCUAUUUAUGAUCUGGGUACUAUACUACCUCUAAAAGAUGACCUUAUCGAUAUUAGUUCUGUUAAGAUUUAUUAGGGCUCUGUAAAGUACUAUUCCUCAUUGUGAAGAAAACCAAUCCAAUAGUCUAUCUAACUUAUAAAGUGUGGCAUACUUAAUUCACAAAUAGGACCUUUGAACCCAAGUACAGGUAACUCUGAAAUCUAUGUACUUAAAUCCCUAUGCUAAGUCACAGUAAAAGGACCAUUAAUUAUUCAAGCAAUUUUUUAGUGUGUGCACACAGUACUAAUAUUUUACAUCCAACAGAAAUUUCUAUAGUCAAAAUGGUUUUAGGAAAAACUGUGAAAUAAAAAACGUUAUCCAAAUGUAAAUUUGUAUCAGUAGAUUAAGCAAUGUUUAAACGCUAGCUAGCAUUCAACCAAUUUAGGUAUGUAAAACUGACAUAAAGCAUACUAUAAUCUGCAAAUUUUCCAAGCAAAGAGUUUCGCAAAAUAAUAGUUAGUGUAUAAGGAAAACUGAAGAUAUGAGACUCCAUCUUUGAGUCUUGUGGUUACUGUUAUGGAAAAUGACCAUGCCCUGCUGCAAAUCACUGUUUAUUGAAAAUAAUCAUGAGUUCAAGAGACUAACUUUGCUUGCAUCUUAUGAUGCAAAGCACAAACUUUUGUGAAAUAAAAUCAUAUAUGCCAUGCUGAGACUCAAAGCACACAUCCCACUUGACCACUCCUUAUGAGUUUUGAUUCUCAGAGUAUCAGGAAUUGGGGUAUUUUUAUUUCUAGGAGACUGACUAUCUGACUUUAUGACAGUUACAACCACUCAUGGUACAUAUAUAAUACAUACAAUCACUGCAUUCCAAUCUAGAAGGUCAAUUUCCAAACAAAAGGUAAACCUGGAGAUUCAGUUCUUGUACCCAAUCCCUGCCAAGAGGACAACAGUGAAGUUAGGGAAGAAUUUGGUACAGACUGUGUAACUUCAAAUGUUCUGUUAACAACGAGCUAAAGCAAGUUCUUUUUAACACCUGCCAACCUUGAAGGGCAUAUUUGGAAAUACUUGUUAUUGAUUUUCUAAUCAUGAACAAAAUAGUUACAUUAUGUUAGAGACAAAGAUUCCGGUUUCUCUGUCUAUCCCACUAUAGGGGGGUGGGUAGUAUCUAUUCACUCUCCAUCACUGGCUCCUACAAACCUCAUGUGGAAGGAUUUUCCUGACCCAGUUUGGGCUGUCACUCUGCUGAUGUUUUAUAUGAAUGCACUGCUGAUCACUCACUAGUGAGGCACAAUGCCUAGGAACAAUCCCCCACAGACUGUUGUAUAUUUCAUAACUAUGCAUAAGAAUGGCAGUUAAUUCUUUAGGAGUUUAAUUUAAGCCUUUCUGCCGUUUCUAAAAGUAAGUGGGAGAAUGAAUAGAACAGAAUGUUCUCAUUUUGCAGAAAUAGAAUAGCAAACUAUAUAUCAAGAGAGAAAUUAGACUGAAGAGUCUUUAAAAAGACACAUGAGGAGUGGCAAAAGAAAAAUGCCCUCUAAUAGCUAUUUUAUCUUUUGGUAUUUUGGUUCAUUUUCUCAUAAAAGAAAUAUUUGCAUUCUGAGUAUAACUAAUGAUGAUAAGAGGAUAGUGAAACUGGUAUUUUAACAUAUGUAACUAUAUGAUUUCAGUUUGAUAAAAUAGUAGUCAACAGCUAACUUGCAUACUGUAUAUUAUACUGUAAGGUUCUCCUAAUGAAGUUUACAUGAAAUUUCAUUUACUGAAAAAAUAAACAAUGACUAGAUAAUGAUACCCAAUUCUUUCAUCUUUUGAAUACAUGUGUAUAUCAGUACAGAGUAAGCACUAAUAUAAUGUUCUGGUAUAUUUGUAAUCUAUGAGUUAGUACAUGUGUAAAUGCCUAUGUAGAAAAUGACCUUGUGCACUUUUGUGAAGCCCCACAAUUAACAGCACCUAAUGAACUGUCAGAGAAAAGGUACUAAGCACGUGUUAUACUCCGAACCUCAGAGAAAGCAGGGACAGUGUAAAAUUGCCUGAGCUGUUUUCUAGCCCCUCUUUCUGCCAGAUUGCACACUAAGAGAGUCACACUGAUAACUGUGGGAGAGAAAAGAAAUAUCAUAUAUGACAAUGUUUGUCUGUUCUGGCUCAGCAGGGGCUUAACUUUAGAAAACAUACUUAUUUCUAAUUUUGAAGAUAAUUUUAUGCGGGUAUGUGCGGGGCGGUAGAAUAGCAAGAAAACACAAAGUAAGGAAGUGCCUGUGUAGAAACAAGUAAGCUCAAAAUCACCAGUGUCCUAUUAAGGCUACUAAGAAAAGUGCUAACCAGAAGAGUAUGUAUCCCUGACCAAAAAUACGUGCUAUUUGGGGGAACAUUUGAAGUAGAGAAAAGAAGUUAGUAGAAAACACAGAGCUGGAUCAAUUCCAGUGUAUGACUUUUGUCUGAAAAUAGUAAUAAUAUAAUGUUGUUUCUAAAACAUGUCCAAGAGCAACUGAUCAGAUAGUUGUAUAUUAGGUAUUAGAGAAUUCCAAUCCAUUUUGGGCAAAGAAAUAGGUGAAAAGGAGUAUGUGGGAGGAACAUAUGAGGGGGUUAUAUAUGUGUGUGUGUGUGUGUGUGUGUGUGUGUGUGUACACAUACAUACACACACACACACACACACACACACACACACACACACAUAUAUAUAAAAUUGUAAUUAAUGAUUGUAGGAUGAACAGAAAAAGGGUCCAGAAGUCCUCAUAAAGAAAUAACUGGCACAAUUUAAAAAUAAUUGAAAAUAAAAUAUAAUUCAUAAAAUAAUCUUAAAGAUGGACGUAAGCUGUAAAUGCAGGGAAACGUUGAAGUAGUAUUGUCAAUAGCAAAGAUGAACUCUGGGAAGAAGAGUACUUAACGGGGAAGUAAGUAAUUGCAUCGUCUAACCUCCCUCAUGGAGUCACAAAGGCCGGCUAAGGAAGGUAUCAUUUGACACACAGGCAUCUCUCAUGGGCAACAAUAACCAUUGGGAAAAUCAAGAAACUCUAGAAACCAACACUUAAAAUCAGCAGAGAUGACCUAUAAAACAAUAGAUUAGAAAAUCAUUCUGCCAUAUAUUUUAGCUGUCCAGUAAUCUAGAUCUUAAUCUUCCAUUAUAGUUCAGCUAAUUUUGUAUGAGUUACAGAAACAUUCGAAAAAUAUGAACUUUGGUAAAUAUUAUGCUUAUUCUAUAUAUUUAUGUAAAUUCCUCAUCUCUCUCCAAUGGGAUAUUGCACUUGAAGUUGGGAAUUAUGUGGUCAGUUCCAAAAUGUUUUCAUAGUAAAAUGCAGGUCAAACUGAGCUAUACAGGAAAAAUCCUGCCUCAAAUGGCAAAAUAAAAUAAAAUAAAAAAUAAAAAUAAAAAGGAAGCUGAGCAUGGUGGCACAUGCCUUUAAUCCCAGCAGUCUGGAGGCAGAGGCAGGCGGAUUUCUGAGUUCAAGGCCAGUCUGGUCUACAAAGUGAGUUCCAGGACAGCCAGAGCUAUACAGAGAAACCCUGUUUCGAAAAACCAAAAGAAAAAAAAAAGAUAAAAUAAAUAAAUAAACAUUAACAAAUUAAAUAGUAAAGUCAUAUACUUAUGAACAAGAGAGUUUAAUUUUUGUGAAAUGUCUUCCAGGAUCUGAAGAAUAAUUGCAGUUGUCAACAGCUUUUAAGUUGUUAAAUGCUUAGAAUAUAGAAUCGUUUCAUUGUUUUGUUAAUUUUAUAAAUGCUAAUCUAUGAAGUAGAGCCUGUUUGGGAGGAGGGUAGAUUGGUCUUCUGCCCUUUACAUAAUUAUUUACAUAAAUAUGCAGUAUAUACAUAACACGUACCAAUGUUUAUGCUUUUAGAAUGUUACUGUAACUUACACAAAAGUAGCUGAAUUAUAAUGGAGAAUCGAGUUCCAAGGGACUGCACCUCUGAAAGAUAUGGUUGAUUCGUAAAUCCACUGUCUGAUAAAGCAUCUCUCUGCUGAUUUCAAAUGUUCAUUUCUAGAGUUUACUGUUUCUCCAAAUGUUUAUUGUUGACUGUUAUAGAUGCCUGGGUGCCACAUGAUAAUUUCCUUAGCCUUCCUUUGUGACUCCAUGGAAUAGUUCAGAUGACAUUGCAUUGAUUACAUUGGUAAUCUCCGUAAAGAGAUCAAACAUACAUCGAAUAUUGUCUGUCCUUUAUUCUGGGUGGAUUUCUAGAAGGAGAUAGAUUUGAGAAAUGGAUCUGGAUUCUAGAAAAUUUUGGUGUUCUAGGCAAGGAGGUAUCUGUGCUCGUUUUAAACUGUAUUGAAUGCAUGGAGUUGGGGUAAACAUGUGCUUGUUGCAUGAACACGAAUUCAUGGGGUUAUGUAUCUGUGCAUGCUCAUGCAGAGACCAUUAUAAGAUGCCAACUACUAUUCUUCUGUGAUGUCCACAUUGUUGAUUUAGAAAGACUUUCAGGGAACCAAAAGCCUGUCAUUUGGCUAAGCUCUCUAGCCAGUCAGCUCUUGGGAUCCAUCUGUGUUAGAUGUCUGAAUGGUAGAGUUACAGACAAACACAGCCAUUGUCCUAUAUCACUUUCUAUCACUAUGAUAAACAUCAUAACCAAAAGCUGUUUAGAAAAGAAACUUGGCUUAAAUAUCCAGAUCAUAGCCCAUUCCUUAGAGAAAACAGGGUUGGAGCUCAAGGUAGAAACUUAAAGACAGAAACUGAAGCAGAGACUGCAGGAGUGCGCUUACUGGUUUGCUCCUCAUGGAUUAUGACUACCUGCAAACUUGAGGCAAAGACCAAGGUGGUCAGGGAUCUCCCCCAUCAAUCAUUAUUCAAGAAAAUGCCCGAGUGACUUGCUUACAGACCAAACUGAUGGUGGCAUAUUAUUAAAUAAGGUUGCUUCUUCCUAUGUAGCCAUAGCUUAUGUCAGAUUGAAAAACAAAAAACAAAGCAAAACAACAACAAAAUCUAACAAGCCCAGCCAUGCUGGACCCUUUGCAUUCAAAGUAGGAUCUCAUGCUUGCAGAACAUGUGCUCAUACCAAUGAGCCAACUCCUCAACCUGAGGGAGAAUCUUAAUUGAUUUAUCAAUUUCUCCUCAGAGAAAUCUCUACUAGUACCUUUGACCUUUGUCUUGACUCCUGAUAAGAAUAAGCUAUUGAAUGAAGCAUUUUAUAUUUUAUAAUCUUGUGUUCAUGAUCUUACACAUAUCUCUUCAGGUAUUUUCUUUCUUUUGGGACACAUCUGAAAGUGAAGAAUAUUGUAUUCUUAAGAUGAAUAACUCUCUUGAUUGAUGCCUUCACACUUCCCAUGGCAAGGGCCCGAGCUGAGUACCCUAGUAUGACUCUUGUCAAUAAAUAAUUAACACAGGAUAAUGGAAUGGAUGAAUACAUGAAUGGAUAGCCAAAUGAGUGGAAUAUUCAGCAAGGGCUGCCCAAGAUUAAAAUACCCAUAAAGGCAUAACAUUUCUAUAAAUUUCUACUUCAGCCAGUGCCUCUAAGAGUGGUGUAGCCUUGCUAGAAUUUUUAAUAAAUAUUUUCUGAAAAAAUUAAUUGAAUGCAAACAAAUAAUUGUUAAUGAGUCAUUGCUAUAUUACUUGAUCUGAUGACUUCAAAUCCAGUUAACUUGUGCUUUUGGUGCCCUGUAUCAUCAGUCUGUAUAGUAGUGUGCCCCAAACAUUGCUAUUAGAGUGGAAAGUUUCAUCACCUUGGCGAUUAUGAGAUAGAAUCACAGAUAUUAAGCCAACUUGGUUAUGUUUGGGACUAGCUGGGGCCAUCAGCCCAUUAACAUCUGUACCCAUACACAUAUAAAUUUGUAUAGACCACAGGUAAUGAAGAAUAUAUAGAGAAUAUAGAAAUAGAGAAAUAUAUAAUAAAAUUUUAAAUAAAUGUGGUAAUUUAUUAAAGGUUGGAGUUUAAAUCUUUAGUAUUUUUUUUAAGUUUUAAAUGUAGUCUAGGUAUUUUAUUUAGCAAAGUAUAAAAUUGGAUAUAGUCUUAAAUGUACUUGGGGUUUUGCUUGAUCAUUUGUUUUUGAGUAAAGAUUCCUUUAUAUGUAUUUAAUCUAAAAUUUAUAAGCAAGUAUGCUAGUUUCCUAUAAUUAAUUUAACAAAUGAAGAUAUUAUAUAUAUGAAUUUUUUGCUGUUCUACCUCACUAUUUAUAAACAUUGAUUUUUGAGAACUACAUACAUGAGUAUUUCAUUUAAAUCUUUCCACCUCACACUCUGUCCCUUUCUGUGUUGAACCCUGCUUUCUCUCAAUCUUUUCAACUAUUAUUGUUUGAGACACCCGCACAUGCACAUGUAUGUGCAUAUAUAUAAAUACAAUCUGCUGAGUCUAGUUAGUGGUACAGGUAUGUCUGUUUAACAAUUGCAUAGCCUAUCAGAGAUUUAACCCUGGAGAAAGCUGAUCCUUCCUGCCUUAGCAGCCAUUAAAUACAUGAAGCUCUUCAACUAGGGGUUGACCCCUGUGAAAUAUUACCCAUGUACUGUUAUUACGCAGGUCUUGUUUAGACAAAUAUGUUGUUAGGAUUACAUAGAUAUAACUCCCUGUUGUAUUAUUUAGAGUUACUAUUGCACUAUGAUCUAAGCAACCUCAGGAGGAAAGGGUUUAAUCAGUGUAUGGUGGUUCUACAUCACAAUUCAUCAUUAAAUGAAGUCAGAACAGGAACUCAAGCAGGACAAGAACCUGGAGCCAAGAGUUGAUGCAGAGGCUAUGGAGCGGUGCUGCUCACUGGCUUGCCCCUUAUGACCUCUUUCUUAAACAACACAGGACCACCAGCCCAGGGAUAUCAACACUCAUAAUGAGCUCCUCCAACAUAACUCACUAAUUAAGAAAAUGUCCUACAGGCUUGCCUAUGUAGCUGGGUGUUAGAGAGGCAUUUCCUCUCUAAUGAUUCUAGCUUAUGUCAAGUUGACAUAAAACUAGCCAGUGCUCCUGUUAUUUGUUGAAGACACUAACACAUAGCAGACACUCUGGUCCUCAGACUCUGAUAAUCCUUCUAUGCUGUUUCAAUGAUAUUCAUUAAGGUUUAGGCAUAGGGUUUGUGUUGUAGAUGUAUUAGCUGGGAUGGCCAGCACACAAUAAUUGCUCUCUAUAUUUUAACCAGUUAUAGGUUUCUGUGAUAGUCUUUGUAUAGUGCACAGAGAAGCUAUGUUUGUGAGGGGUGAGACCUAUAAGUAUUUGGAAAGAAUUUGGGAACUUUGUUGGUUUAGGAAAAGGCGGUGGUAGGUUUUCUCUUUAGGGCCCCAUAUUACCUGUCACAGGUAAGAUGCUGGACUUAUGGUAUACAACAUGAUGUCUGUCUUAUUGAGUGGGCCUUAAGUCUAAUUGGGUGACUGUUGAUUACCACUGAGAUUUAAGUGCCCACUAUUGUCCACUUGGGUAUGUAUUGUCAUGGUGGUCUUUGUUGUGGUUCACAGGUUUACAGCUUUAUAGGACUUUUAGCUGCUUUUCUCAAUUAGCAGCUUACAUUGCAUCAUGAGAUGCUAUGAGAACUAGUUCUCUGGGAGACAGCUGGCAAAUCAGUUCUAGCUCAAUUCCUUUAAGUCCUGAGCUCAAAGGGUGUGUUGUCCUUAGCAAAAGAGUCAUGCCUUCAAGUUCUGAAAGGCAAGCAAGGAGAGCAGCAAUGUCCUAUAUUGUUUUGGGAGUCUCUUGGAUGCCCAUGGCAAAAAACUCAAAGGAAGAAUGCCCAUGCCAGGCACUAAAAUAUUUGUUAGACAGUCUGUGGCCCUUAGGAAAGCAUUAUCACUGCAUAUGACAUAACUUCAUUUAAAUUAUUUAUGUAUGUAUAUACGUACAUUCUUAUAUUAUAUAUGUAACUUGGCGAAAUCUAAAAUAAUAUGUUUACAUAUGGCUUUCCCAGUGCUCCUUCAUGUUUUUCAACCCUUAAUAUUGCCCUGUCUAACUUCUUUCCAGGCAAAAUACCUCUGCCUUAUUUCCCAUUUUUCUCUUCAUAGCAACUGUGUCCUUCUUUAACCUUCUUUAGAGAUCCUUCUCUUUCCCUCCCAAGGUCUAUUUUUACUUUCCCAAUUUUUGAAGUUUCCCCAGGGUUAUGCACUCACAUCUAAUGAUUUGGAACCAGGAUCCACAUCCAAGAGAACAUGCUGUAUGUGUCUUUCUGAGUAUGGAUUACUUCGCUCAGUAUAUUAUGUUCUAGUUCUAUCCACUCACCUGCAGAGCUCAUAAUCUCAUAUUUCUUUACAGCUGAAUAGAAUUCUAAUGUAUAUAAAUAUGCAUCCACAUUAUCUAUUUGUCAGUUGAAGGUCAUUUAGAUUGACUCCACUUCCUAGUCCGUGUGAAUAGAGCAGCAGUGGCUGAGGAAAUAGGAAUGUGAGACCUGGGCACAUUCAGAGAACUAGACUAAGUGUAAGACACUAGAGGAUAAGAGAACAGACUCAUCUGGCGGGGCUAGAGCACCAGGUGUGCUGGCCUGCCUGGUCCUGGUGUAUAGGUAUAGUAUGAGACUUGAUGCAAUAAACACUGGCAGACAGUGGAGCUAAGUUCAACUCAUGUCCUGAGCCAAGCUUGGAGAUUAGCAGAGUGCACAUAGAAUUUUUUAGACUUAGCUGGAAUACUGAGUUGUGGACUUAGGCUCUGGGUGAGGGUUUAUAUGAGUACUGAAAGCUUAGAGUAGAUUCAGCAGGCCAAGAUAGAUGGGGUAUCCUGGCCUGGUAGGACCUGGAGGGUAAAUAUAGUGCAGGGCUUCUGAUCCCAUUUUCUAGAUAUUGUACAUAAAGUGGCAUUAAGUAUUGAUGGGGACGUAUCUGUAUGGAAGAAUGUUGAAUCUUUUGGGCACAGAUCAAGUGGCAUAUCUGGGGUAAUGGUAGAUGUUCUUGUAGCUCUAGGAGAAUUUCCCAUACUUAUUUCUGUAAUAAAUGUGUCAGUGUGCAGCCUCCCUACAGCAGCAUAGGAGCGUUCCCUUUUCAACACAUCCUCAUUAAUAUUUGUUGCCAGUUGUUCCUUUAAUCCCCUAUAAUCUGACUGGGGUAAGAUGAAAUCUCACAUCAGUUUUAAUCUUUUUAUUUUCCUAAUUACUAAGAAGUUUAACAUUUUAAGAUGUUUAUUAGUUAAUUUCCCCCUUCUCUUGAGUUCACUGUUCACAUUCAUAGCCCAUUUUUUUAAAAAAUGGGUCAUUUGUUUUCUUGACUCUUUGUCUAUUGAGUUCUUUAUCCAUUCUGGAUAUUAACUAUGUCAGAUGUAAAGCUAGAAACAAUUCUUUGCUCUGCUGUGGGUUUGCUUUCACUAAGAUGACUGCUUCUUGGUUGUGACAAACCCAUAGCCAACGUCAUCUUGAAUGAAGGAAAGCUUAAAACAAUCCCAUUCAAAUCAGGAGUAAGGCCAAGCUGUCCAUUGUCAUCACUUCUUAAAUAUAGUACUUGAACAUUACAAAUCAGAAAAGAGGGGACUAGAGAGACAGUUCAGUGAUAAGAAGCACUAACUGCUCUCACAGAGGUCUGAAGUUCAAUUCCUAUCCACCACAUGGUGGCUCACAACCAUCUGUAAAGGAAUCCGGUGUCCUCCUCUGGUGUGUCUGAAGAGAGCAACAGUAUACUCACAUAGAAUAAAUAAAUAAAUCUUAAAAAAAUCAAAUCAGACAAGAGAAGGAAAUUAAAUUUAACAAAUAAGAAAAAGGAUGUCACAUUAUACUUAGUAGUUGAUGAUAUGACAUUAUCCAUUUGAAGGUCCCAAUAUUUCACCAGAAAACGUCAGCGAAUGGUCUGCACUUUCAGCAAAGUGACAGUAUACAAAAUCAACAUAAAAGACCAGCAGGUUUUCUAUUAACCAAUAGCAAUACAACUGAGAAUAGAUGAUGGACACACUCCUGCUCACAAUAUCCUGUAACAAAGAUCUAGAAAUAAUGCAAAAAAAACAGAGUUAUAACAUUUCCACAAUGGAAACUUUAAGUUCCCAAAGAAAGAAACUUAGUAAGAGACUAGCAAAUUAAAAUAAUUUCCAUGUACUUGUGUUGGAAGAAUUAAUAUUGUAAAAAUGAGCAUCCUACCAGAAGCAAUUUGCAGAUUCAAAACAAUCCAAAUCAUUGCAGAUGCAAAACCAUCCAUAUCAAAAUUGUCAUAAAAUUACUCACACAUAUAGAUAAGAAAAAGCAUCCCAAAAUUCAUUUGGAAGUACAAAAGACCUCAGGUAGCCAGAGUGAUCCUGAAGAACAAAGAACAUUCUGGAGGAAUACAGCUUUCAAGCUCUAUUACAGAAUUAUAGCAAUAAAAACAUCAUGGUACAAGUACACUUGCACGCACAUGCAUGCGGGCGCGCACACGCGCGCACACACACACACACACACACACACACACAGAGAGAGAGAGAGAGAGAGAGAGAGAGAGAGAGAGAGAGAGAGAGAGAGAGAGAGUGUCAGUGGAAUAAAUCAGAAGAUCAAACCAUGAGAACAAAUGGUUACAAGCUAUCCUAUAUUUGGCAGAGAAGUGAAACUACACACUGAAGAAAAGAACACAUCUUUGAUUAAUGAUGGUGAGAAAGCCAGAAGUUUGGGCAGCAGACUGAAUUUAGAUCCAUAUCUAUAACCCUCCACAAACUCAACUCCAAAUGGACCAAAGAAAUGGCUGGAAGAAUACCUGGGGAGUAUCUCACAAGAUAGGAGUUUGGAAAAGGACUUUCUAAACAAGACUCCAUUCACUAACAGGCUAAUGCCAAUGACUGACACAAAGAACCUCAUAAAACUAAAAGAUAAGAUUCUUUAGUGCCUGGUUACAGAAUAUGAGCAGUUUGUUUCUUUACGUUCCAUGUGCCAUUACUAGGAGUCUUUGCUCUGGUUACUCUCAUAGAUUCCAUGAAGUUUCCAUCUCAUGGUUUGUUUGAUUGAUUGAUUGAUUGAUUGAUCGAUUUAGACAGGAUUUCACUGUUUCACCCUGGCUGGCCUUUAACUGACAGGGAUCCCUCGGCAUCUGCUUCUGGGAGUGCUGGAAUUAAAGGCAUGGGCCCCAACUGCCCCGUCUCUAUUCAUUUUUUAUUUUAUUUUAUUUUAUUUUAUUUUUUAUUUAUAAUCCAGCCUCUACACCCCUCCCAUAGUUCCUUAUCCCAUUCCUCCUCUCUCUUGGCUCCCAGAGGGUGCUCCAGACACAUACCAGGUCUCCCCCUCCCCUAGGGACUCGAGUCUCUUGGUAUUAGACAUGUCUCAUCUUACUGAAGCCAGACUAGUCCUCUGCUAUUUAUGUGCCAGGGGCCUCAGAGGAGCCUGUGUAUGCUGCCUGGUUUGUGUUUCAUUCUCAGGGAGCUCCCUGGGGUCCAGAUUAGUUGAGACUACUGGUGUUGCCCUCCCAUUCAGCUUCUUCAAUGCUUCCCAGAAUUCAAUCAUAGGGGUCUCCAACUUCAAUCCUUGGUUGGCCAUUAAGUACCUGCAUCUGUCUCAUCAUCUGGUAAGGCCUCUCAGAGGACAGCCAUGCCAGAUUUGCAUCUGAAAGCACCUUAGCACAUCAUAGCAUCAGCAGCAGUGCCAGGCCUUGGUGUCUCCUUACCACCCCAUGAAAUGGAUCCCAAGUCAGGCCAGUCAUUGGACCAUUUUUCCUUCAAUCUCUUCUCUAUUUUUGUCCCUGCAGUUCUUUUAGACAGGAACAAAUUCUGAAUCAGAAAUUUUGACAAUAUGGCAAUUGUUAAAAUUGUUAAUAGUUCUACCUGUAGACCCAGCUAUACCACUCUUGGGUAUAUUACUAAAAGAUGUUCCACCAUACCACAAGGACACAUGCUCCACUAUGUUCAUAGCAGCCUUAUUUGUAAUAGCUGGAAGCUGGAAACAAUCCAGAUGUCAAUCAAAUGAAGAAUAGAUACAGAAAAUGUGGUUCAAUUAUGCAUUGUAAUACUAUUCAGCUAUUAUGAAAGAGGACAUCAUGAAUUUUGCAGGCAAAUGGAUGGAACUCGAAAAUAUCAUCCUGAGUGAGGUAACCCAGACCCAAAAGGAAAUGCAUGGUGUGUACUCACUAAUAAGUGGAUAUUAGCCAAAAAGUACAGAAUAUCUAAAAUACAACCUAGAGAUUGUAAAAAGUUUAGCAAGCAGAAAGGCCCAAGUGAGGAUACUUCAAUCCCACUUAGAAGGGGGAAGGGAAUAAUAAAGGGGGGCAGAGGAAGGGAGUGUCCUGGGUGGGAGAAGUGAGGAGGAGGGAAAAGGGGAAUAGGGUCAGGUACUGGGGGGUGGGGAGGCAGGAGAGAAGCCCAGAUAGCCAGCAGAAUGAAUGGAUCCAGUAUUUCUGAUCCAGAAUUGUUCCUGUCUAAAAGAACUGCAGGGACAAAAAUAGAGAAGAGACUGAAGGAAAGGUGAUCCAAUGACUGGCCUGACUUGAGAUCCAUUUCAUGGGGUGGGUGUUGGGUGGGAGCACCAAGGACUGGCACUGUUACUGAUGCUAUGAUAUGCUUUAAGAUGGAAACCUGAUAUGGUUGUCUCAGGGUCAUUUUUAUUUACAUUUUCCUGAUGAUUAAGGCCUUUGAAUAUUUCUUCAAAUACUUCUCCACCAUUUGAGAUUCUUCUGUUGUAAAUUCUGUUUAGCUCUGUACCCCAUUUUUAUUUGAAUUAUUUGGUUUUUUAUGUUAACUUCUUGAGUUCUUUAUAUAUUUUGAAUAUUAGCCCUUUAUCAAAUGUAGGGUUAGUGAAGAUUUUUUUUCCAAUCCAUAGAUUUCCCAUUUGUCCUAUCGGCUGUGUCUUUUGCAGUAUAGAAGUUUUUCAGUUUCAUGAGUUCAGUUUCAUGAGUUCAUGAGUUUCAUGAGUUCAGUUUCAUGAGUUUCAUGAGUUCCCAUUUGUCUCUUGUCUUAGAGCCUGAGCCAUUGGAGUUCUGUUCAGGAAAAUUUCCCUUUUGCCAAUGAGUUUGAGGCUUUUCCCCACUUUCUCUUGUAUUAGAUUCAGUGUAUCUGUUUUUAUGUUGAGGUCCUUGAUCAACUUGGACUUGAGCUUUGUGCUAGGUGAUAAAUAUGGAUCUAUUUUUAUUUUUAUUUUUUUGCAUACAGACUGCCAGCUAGACCAGCACCAUUUUUUGAAGAUGCUUUCCUUUUUCCACUAUAUAUUUUUGGCUUCUUUGUCAAAGAUCAAGUGUUCAUAGUGUGUGGUUUUAUUUUUUGGUCUUCAAUCCUAUUCCAUUGAUCAACAUGUCUGUGUCUGUACCAAUACCACACAGUUUUUAUCACUAUUGCUCUGUAGCACAGACUGAGGUCAGGGAUGGUGAUUUCUCCAGAAGUUCUUUGAUUGUUGAGAAUUGUUCUGGCUAUCCUGGAUUUUUUGUUUUUCUAUAUGAAAUGAAGAAUUUCUCUUUCCAUAUCUGUAGAGAAUUGUGUUGAAAUUUUGAUGGGGAUUGCAUCAUAGAUUAUUUUUGGUAAAAUGGGCUGUUUUACUAUGUUAAUCCAUGAGCAUGGGAGAUCUUUCCAUCUUUUGAGGUCUUCUUCCAAAUUUCUUGUCAUACAGAUCUUUCACUUGUUUGGUUAGAGUUACAUCAAGAUAUUUUAUAUUAUUUUUGACUAUUGUGAAGGGUGUUGUUUCUGUACUUUUUCUCAUCCCAUUUGUAUAAAGGAAGGCUACUGAUUUGAGUUAAUUUGCUGAAGGUGUUUAUCAGCUGUAGAAGUUCUCUGAUAGAAUUUUUAGGUCAUUUAUGCAUACUAUCAUAUCUCUAUUCUUAAAGCUGCCACAUUCUCCACUCAUGAUACCAGGCUAGGCUAUUCUUCUUAAAUUUGACUUCUCUAAGAUUAUCAGGUUCAUGGUUCCUAAAUUCACACUUUUUCUCAUUCCAACCUUAAACUUCUCAGGCCCUUAGCACAGCAAGGACCAAAGACCUCAGCUCAAAAAAAAAAAAAAAUCACACUUACAAAAGAGCAGAGACUGCAGAGGAAAUAUGGAGGGCAUUUUAGAACUGCUGAAAUUGUUUUUUAUAAAAAAGCAAAGAAUUAGUGUUAGUUACUUUUUAAGCUUUUUGUUUACUUUUAAGAUUGCAAUUUAAUCAUGUUUCUCUAUUCCUUUUCCUCCCUGCAAAACUGCUCCCCUCUAUUCUCUUUCAAAUUCAUGACUCCUUUGUUCAUUAAUGGUUAUUACUUGUAUACGUAUUUGCAUAUGCACUUUUAUUCUUAAAUAAAAUCUGUCGAGUCCUGAUACUCUCUCUUGCAUGUAUGUUUUCAGGGCUGCCUAUUUGGCACUGGACAACCAAUUAAAGUCCUCUUCUCUGAGAGGUUCACCUAUCUCUGUUGCCUGUGGUUCUUUUGUAAGACUGGGGCCUCCUGAGCACUCCCCCAACCAGUUUGCCUUGUGCCACCAUGUCCUUACUUAGCUUUUCUGAGUGCAAAUGAGCUGCCUCUGUAAGCCAAAGUGUACCACAUUCUCAACAUUAUAUAUUUCCCCAGUGCUAAGGAAGCAUCGCAGAAGGUGGUUCCAGUGACUGCCACAGACUGUACAUUUCUAUGCUAUUUGCAUUUCCAAGUUCACCAAACCCAAGCUUCAAUCUGGUAUACAGAAAUGUAGACAAAUCAAAACACAAAUCCUUAUUAGACACUAAAGACUGCAAAUGUUGGCGUGAGAGAACUGCAGGUGGAUUUAAGCAUCAUAUAAUCUGGCUGCCUCAUUUUACAGAUGACAAAGGUACACAGAGAAUAAAGUGAUGGUUUCUCAAAUCCACACAGGUUAUUGGUGAACAAGAAUAAUAACUCAAAGUUCCCAUGGUCCUGAUUACUGCUCUGCUCUACCUCAUAAUAACAAACUAAUUGUGUGUAAUUUUUGUAAACUUAAAAUAUGUAGCUAUCCCAAGUCUUAUCUCUCACCAAAACUAACACAGUUGAAGACUAAGAUAUCUAUUAUAUUUUCCAUAUUCUACAGAGAUUAUUUUAUUAGGAACUUUGUGUCCUUAGAAUACAUGUGAACUCAGUGAAUUGUGUUUCAAUUGUUCAUUUUAUAAGUCAUAAAUUAAGCUUGGGAAGUGGAGGUCACGGGGAUUGUGAAAAGAUAAAGACACCCGUUAAGUCUUUGUACUGUUGGAAUCAUCGGUGUGUUCAGAGAUCUGCCUAAUUUCCACUAUACUUUAGAUUUAGAGGAACAUGAGAAAAGUGGAGGCGUAGAAGCUCAUCUCAGCAAUUUUCCUGUGUGCAAUUUAGUAAAUUCUAAUUCAAGUAUGAAACAAGAAAUCAUUUUGUUAAUUACUUGAAAAGCAACUCACAAGGAUUCCUGGGAAAAAGCUGUGCUUCCUUGGUAGUGCAUGUGAGAGUGGACACUUUGCACACUUUUGCAUGUGCUUUUGUAAUUAUAAUCACUCCCAUAGACUAUACUACAGCUAGAAACUUUUGCUGAUAAAAAUAUUUUAAAAGAAAGAAAAACAAUAAAGCAAUGGGUAAGUUUAAUAAUUUCAUUGUUUUACUGCCUACCUAUGAAUUAUUUGAAGCUAUUCUAUAUGAAGAGAAUGUUGCAUAAAUUGUAAGUAGUUACAAUUAAAGUAAGUAACACUUGAUAAUACUUUUGUCUAAUGUAAAUAUGACGUGAUUAUUAAGGUAGAUGUGGUUUUUUUGCACUGCUACCUAACAUUUGAGACAUUACUAAGAACCUCAAGAGAAUUUAACAAAAGCAUACUUAGUUCACCCUGACCAAUGUAGACAAACCUUACCUCAUUUAAAGUUGGGAAUUGAAUCUCUUGCGCUGUAUAAUUUUAAUGUCACUUACUUUAUGUAAACAAUAGAGUAUAAUUUCCUCCUUAUUUAUGAUUAUUGUAUUUGUAUUUGUAGACAAUUCUUGAGGUAAGGAAUAACAAAUUGUAAAGUAUACAAUAGUUAAGUUGGUUCACAAUUUGAGAGGCAAGGAAAAUUUCUGAGAUUUUUAGAAUCCUCAUGUAAAAUCUCAGAAAGAUGUAGGCUUCUUGUAUUUGCUCUUUGUAGUUUCCCAGUAUAAGUGAAGAGGGCAAGAUGAAAUUUAAAGUCAUGUACAUGUUGACACGUUGAUGAAUUUUUUUUCUAAUUGAAAAUACAUUUUUCUCUCAUACAGUACAUCCUGACCACAGUUUUUCCUCUUUCCACUUCCCCCAUUCCUGUCCCCCCAUGUCUCCCAUACCCUCAUUAUGUCCCUUACCAUCACCACUCAUCUUCCCCAGGCCCAAUGCCCCUGUUUUCCUUCAAACAAAACAUAAUGAGACAAGACAAAUCAGGCUGGAUAAAGCAAUCCAAUAGGAGAGAAAGAGUCCUAAGAGCAAACAAAAGAGUCAGAGACACACCAACUCCCAUUGUUAGGAGUCCUUCAAAACACCAAGCUAACAACCAUAAUAUACCUAAACGGACCUGGUAUAGACCUAUGCAGGCCUCCUGCUUGCUGAUUCAGUCCCUGUUUGCCAGUUGCAUUUGGUUCUAUACUACUUCUCUCCUUCCUGGUCAUCCAGGCAGUAUAGGGUGUAAGGCUCAAGUCAAGCUAGAUCUUAGUUGGCCACUCCCACAAGUUCUGUGCCACCAUUGCCCCAGCACAUCUUGAAGAGAAGAAAAAUUGAAUGCCAAGGGUUUGAAAGAGUUCUGGAUAACCUUACCAAUAGGAACUGUACUUGUGAAGUCAGACAAACAUCAAUUCACCUAUAAGCAUUUCAAUCUCUAUUUCACUUCAGGUGUCCUAGGGGAAAACAUGUAUGUGCAGAUUGUUCUCUCUGUCUCUGUCUCUGCCUCUACAUGUCUCUCUGUCUCUGUCUCUCUGUCUCUGUCUCUCUCUGUCUCUCUCUGUCUCUCUCCCUCUCAGAACCUCCCUCCACCUCUCUCCCCCACCUCUCUCUUUCCUUCAUUUUAUAUUUAUACAUGUAGGUAUUUUAUCUACAUUUGUAUCUGUGUAUCAUAUGUGUUCAGUGAUCACAGAUAACAAAAGAGGCAUCAGAUCCUCUGUGACUGGAGUUUGAUAGAGUGAUGAGCCACCAGUUGGGUACUAGAAGCUGAUUGGGUCCUCUGGAAGAGCAGCCAGUACACUUACCACUGUGCCAUCUCUCCAGCCUUGUUGUUACUUCUCCGUAAAUCCAUCCUUUAUAGUUAUAAAGUACAUUUACAGGUUUAAAUCAUGCUUUGCUCAAAUGCACCAAAAAAAAAAAAAAAAAAAAAAAAAACGAAAUCAGAAAAACAAAACUAGUUCUAUUUCCCUCCGAUACUGAUGUUGCAUUUCUCCCUUAACUAACGGACAAUAAUGCACUUGUUAGUCUUAGGACUCUAAAUACUCAGUGUUUUACUAAUAAAUAGCUGGUUUCAUUAGUCCUUUAAUCAAUACUCAUGUUUUCAAGAGAGCGAGCACCUCUGAAUAGUAUCUCCUAUCUCUUAGCUCACCAUCUCUCUCAGCUCCUUCCUGAGUUGACAUCUGAGGAUUGAAGAAUACAAUGAGUAGAAUGCUCUCUUGCACAAGCUCGUAUCCGAGGAAACAGGGGAAUCUAGAAGUCCAAUGGAACUGUGUAAUUUCAGAUUUCAGAACUCUGAGUGACGGCAAAACCUUGUGUUAACAGGUUCUCCACCUGCCCUGCUGCCUGCUGGCAACUCCCCAGGCAGGUGGAGAACCUUCCUCGUCAGCCUUUGAUGCUGCUUUACACUCAUGUCUCAUGCCACUGGAGAUCUGGACGUCUAAGCUUCAUGUCCUUCCCUGCCUGACUCUUCACUUUCAUGCACUGCAGCGUCUGUUGAUGAACCACAGUGUGGUUCCUCCUAGCACAUGUCUGCUGAGAGUAGUGUCUAGGAGUGUUGCUUCUCUCAUUUGUCUAGAAUGGUUUCUAAUUGAACUAUUAUUACAUUUUUGUUCCUUUUUAAUCUUUUGUCUCAUGAAAAAUCCCCACUGCGUGCAUCAAUCAAUAUCGUACAAAACAACCUCGGAUUCACAAUACACUCUUCUCUCUUCAUUGUGAAAAGUAAAAAUCUAAUAUUCAUAGGUGUGAAAGAAAACACACAACUAAUUUUUAGAAUAGUAACUCAGGCAAGAUUGUAUAAACUUAUCACAAGUAAAAUGAAGAUAAAAUAGCCAAGUCAUCAAUUUUAUGCCUCUUUUUAUAUUAAGUGGAAUAUAAAUUUGCUCUCAAACUACUGACAAAAAUUGAGGCUAGGAAAGAGCAAUGUGUUUUACUUAACUGUAGGCCACAUGUGACUUAAUAAAGUUUAAAAAUAUUCACCUCUAGAAGGAUUAAAGAUGAUUCACAAGCUAUCCUUAUUUUCUGGAUCAAUGAUGAGUUCAGGCAUUUAGUGGAUCAGAAUUACCUAGCGUCUAUAGGGCAAUGUUUCUUGAAGACAACACAGGAUAUAAACUGGAUGAGUAAAACUAACUUAGCUGGUUCUGAAGGAAAUGAAGAUUUAUUAUCAAAAGAAAAGAAAUCAGAACCUCUCAGUGGUUGUUUGCAUACCAGAGCUCUGUGAGCUUGGAUCUUAUUGCUACCUUUUAAAACUUAACAAUAUGCCUCCAAAGCACUCAGGAGGCAGAGGCAGGUGGAUUUCUGAGUUCGAGGCCAGCCUGGUCUACAAAGUGAGUUCCGGGACAGCCAGGGCUAUACAGAGAAACCCUGUCUUGAAAAACAAUACAAAACAAAACAAAACAAAACAAGAUGCCAUAUUCUCUUCCUACAUUUUCAACAUUGCUGAUCUCUGAUGUGUAACUGUUUCUCUUUCACAACCCAUUGUGAAUAUCAUGUGACCCUGUGUCUGCUAUGGAGUGAGUCCAUUGGUGUGAUAUUCUAGAACCCUAUUCUCCUGAAAAAAAAAUGUUUAGAAUCUGCACCUUCCUAGGGAUGGUCCUUGUUGGAUAUGCAUGAUCAUGAGUAAGGUUUUCAUCGAAACUCAUCAAAAAGUAACCCAAAGUAGAAGUGCACUAAGUCUGGAGUCUCAGAGUUCUGUGAGACUUCCUCCUGCACUGGCUCUCAAAUUUGUGACUAUCCCAGAGACAAUGAUGUCUGGAUCUUAUUAGAGAACUUUUUCUAUGCUCCCCAGUUCUCCCUCCCUCUAGUCCACUUGCUGCCAAAUGUCUCUUCAAAACCAAGGGAAAGUUUGCCUUAACUUCACUUAUGCAUACUUAGCACUUUUUACCUUAACUAACUCUUCUUGCCUCUGGGCCAAAAUACCUAAAAUAUCUUCACAGUGAAACCCAAAAGGAAUAUCAAUGAAAAUAUCAGACUAUUUGAAUCUAUGUUUGGAUCUCUCCAUGUACAUCUAGAGAUGAGUGCUGUGAUUUCAUAUGAGAACAGAAGUGCAAAGAAAAUACAAGGACAGUCCUAAAACUUAAAAAUGAACAAAAGCGAAAGGAGACCUAACUCUUGAAAUCCUAUAUAUUUCAAAAGAAAAGCAAUUAGAAAAAUAUGGUUCUUUAGCCUCACUAGCACCGUAACCUCCUUAUUAAUAAUAGGAAACCUACCUUUGAUUAAAAUAAUGUAAUAUGUGCAAUGAGUCCAUUUUUGAUGUUUUCAUUUAUUUGUGAAUGAUAACCAAUUCCCUGACUUUAUGAUAUUCUACUGAGAAACAAUGGAUUAAGAGAUUGCAGGGGUCAAAUGGGGAAAGUAGCCCAUAUUUGAACUUUGUAAUAAUUGUAGUAACACUAAGUAUUGGCUUUAAAAAACACAAGAAGAGCCAAGAGUGAUGGUGCAGUCUUUAAUCACAGCACUGGAGAGAAAGAGGUAGGCUGAUCUCUAUGAGCUGAGGCCAACCUGUUCUACAUAAUGAAUUCCAGAACAGCCAGAGCUAUGCAGAGAUAUACUGUCUCAGAGAACCAAAAAUAAAUAAACAUGUUUUACUAUAACUUGUUAUGCCAUGUUUGGUUGAUAUUUCUGGGAAGUCUGCACUUUUCUGGAGGGAAAAAGAGGAGGAAGAGUGGAUCUGAGGAAGAGGGGACAGGGGAGAAGUGGGAGGAACAGAAGGAAGAAAACUGUGGUCAUGAUUUAUUAUAUGAGAGAUGGAUUUUUAAAGUAGUUUAAAAGUAUAUUUAAUUCAGAGAUAUAUGAAAUGUAGAGUGUUAUCCAUAAUUCUAAAUGUAAUUUGCAUAAAUUAUGAUUUAUUUUAUUUUUUCUUCAUCUUAAGUACACAAGUAAUGGCUUGGAAACAUUAUUUGCUAAUUGAGAAUUAUUCUUUUUAUUUCAAAAUGAGGAUUAUAUUCAAAGUUAGCAACUAUAUUUCAAUAAAAUACUUUCCAUUAAUUGUCAAAAAUACUUUUAAUGUAAAAUGAAUGUGGUAAUAUGCUGAUAAAUGGAGACAUGAAGAAAUCAUAAUUCAUUCCUAACUAAACUAAUCAAAAUUUUCACUUUUGUAUGUUCAUCUCUGUUUAUUUUAAUUCCACUGUUUACUUUGCAUAUCAGCAUUAACUUGAGCCUACACCCCUCUUUAGGAGGACAAGGUUCAGUCAGGGAGAUCAAUUGAGAUCAGCAGUUCAAGAUAAGCCAAGGAAACAAACCUUGUCUUAAAAGACAGAAAAACAAGAAAAUUAAUAACUCCCAAGUUUCUCAUACAUAUGGAAUCCCUUUUGUGUAUCACAGUUGGUUCAUGCAUUAUUCAAUGUAAAAUGUAUUCGAAGGUAGUAAUUUAAUUGUAUUAUAAGAUUCUAAGUUGUGUCCAUCAUCAUUUAUUUGGUAGCUGUUAUUUUUAUAAAUUUUAAAAUAAUCAUUUCAGCCAAAUUUUUCAAAUGCACUCUAAGACUAAUUGUUUUUAAUAAACUAACAGUCAAAGAUAAUUAAUUUAUCAAGAUGUCUGCCCUUUAAAAUGACCUUGCCAUAUUUCUUCUCAUUGACAUUUUUCCACUUACCUGCAUUUUAACUAAUUGAAUUGCAGAUGCUUGAGCCAGAAGUUCUGAGCCACACAGUAUGCCAUGCUCACUUGUCAAACAGGCAGGAAUUAGAAACUGGCUAAAUUCUAAUUCAUUAUAAUUGACACUAAUAUGAGAGUUAUUUUUUUCACAUUUGUUCAUAAUUUCUCAUGCUUUUAUUGUUGAUUUUUAUCUUUAGCCUUUUUUACACACAUCUGAAUAAAAUACAGGAUUUUAAAAAUUGGUUGAAUUAAGUAAUUUAAAAGAAGCAGCAGGGAGGCCAGGAUGAUAGCCUGGUUAUUAAAGUGCUUGGGUAAGUGUAGGGCCAUGAGUUCAAUUCUUGAAAUCCAUGGAGAGGAAAAAAAAAAAGCAAGGUAUUGUGGAGUGCACCUUUAACCCCAGAACUAAAGAUGUGGAAAUAGAUGGACCUCUGGGAAUCACUAGCAUAUGCAAGAGACCAGAAGGAGACUCUGUGGGAAAGAAAAUGAAGGAAGAAAGCAAGGGAGGGGUGAGGAAAGGAGAGAAGGAGGGACAGAAGAAGGAGGGAAAAGCAAUGUCACCUAACAUUGUACGCUGGCCUCCACACGCACCCAUAAAUACGUGAAUACACCUAUAUACAUAGACAAUUGCAUACAUAUAGAUAGCAGCACUUAUAUUUUCUAUUCCCCAUGCUGUAUGCAUAAGUGUGUGUGUGUGUGUGUGUGUGUGUGUGUGUGUGUACACAAAUAUAUCACUAAGUAGUAGGCCAGAAAUGUAAGAACAAAAACAUAUAAAUCCACAAUCCAAGAAAUGCAUCUUUAAGAUCUUUCAUACGUUAAUACAGGAAGGGUCAGAUGCUGUGUGGUAUGCUAGAAUAUAUCCUAAACAAGAGAAAAAUCUUCCUACCACAGCUAAAAUGAAGACAAAUACAACAUAAAAUAAUUAGCUGACAAAACACGUUCUAUGCUUCAAUAGAUUUGACUAGACUUUCCCUGUAAAUUUAAGGAGACUUUACUGUAAAUCCUAGUUACAUGUACAGUGGGAAGAAGAUAUACAUUCACCACUUUGUAGGCCUGUAAAAAUAUUCAGGCUGACUUUUUAAGGGUCUAUUUUAUACCACUGGAGGAAAAGUUGGCAAAAGAGAAAGUUCAAGAUUUCUAGGGGAAAAGAGCCAACACUGAAAAACAAAACUUUAAACAGCAAAUCACAUUUUUGUGUAUGGCAUGCUUCCAUCAUACCAGCUCAAUGGGAUUCUCAAUAAGAAGAAUUUCACAGUCCAUGCCUGACACUAUCAAGGUUUCCAAAAAUGACAAAAAAUGAAAUUAUUUCAGACAGUAGGCAUUUUUCCACAGUUUUGAAACACUUACACAUGUGCACGCACAUGAGUGCACAUGCAAACACACACACACACAAACACACACACACAUACACACACACACUUCUCAUUUCUUUUCCAAAUAUUUCUACUUAUAACUCUCCAGGUAGCUGUUUACUGCUGGCCACUGGACCAUUAUCAGUCUGACAACUGCUAAACAAGAACCCUAAUCUGAUUUAACAGAUCUUCUCUGAAAUGAUUUACCUUGUCAUUGCUACAGAGCAGGCUAAAUUGGAAAGCAAAAUUAAUCUGCUUCUCUAAAAGUGCAUUCUAGCUUACCCGGGCAGUCUGUGGAAUAAUUCAAAAUAGCAUUGGCACCGCUCCACGCCCAAGAAUCUUAGUAGGAAUACAGAUAUGUGGAGACUAGCAUUGAAGUUUAUUUACUUUGGACACAUGGGCAAAUAAGAUUCAAUUAUUUACAACUUUUUAGGCUCCCCCCCCCAACCUACUGAAAGGUUUGUGACUUUCAUUCCACUUUUAUGAAAAAAUUAGUCUUUUUCUAUUUCUUAGGAGUACAAAAGAGCUGGACAGUGGAGGCGCACACCUUUAGUUCCAGCACUUGGGAAGCAGAGGUAGGCAGAUUUCUGAGUUUGGGGCCAGCCUGGUCUACAGAGUUAGUUCCAGGACAGCUGGGGUUACACAGAGAAACCCUGUCUUGAAAACAACCAAAAGAAAAAAGAAAAAAAAAGAAAAAAGAAAAGAAAAGACUUUAAGAGUACCAAAGCACUCUUGAAUAAUCUUUAUGGCAACUCAUAAAACUGAAAAGUUGAUAUUUAUAAUUUUAUGGAAUUAUUAAUAAGCAUUAAAAUAUUUUUCUAUGUUCUAUUUUUUGUGUAGUUAACACAAAGAAUGUUUUUAGUAAUUAACUAUCUCUGCACACUGUUCCUGAAAACUAGUUUUAAGAGGGGUGUUCUUGCCUUCCUUUGAGUUUGGGUUCUUGCUCUUUUAGUUUUACAGGUCUUCUUCAUAUUUUUUUUCUAUUUUCUUGAGACAAGAAAACAUCAGCUAAUAUCUUAACAUGAAAAAGUUCUGCAAAGAAUAGAUAUGAGGGAUUUGGAGAGAGCAAAAUCCAAAGGUCAAAAAGAUUUGAGAGGAGGCAAGAAGAAGGGAGUUGCUUGAAGGCUAUACUUGCUGUUUCUCACUGGAGUCACUGUGAGCACUGUGUUCUUAGUGGAAUUUUGUCCUUUGAUUUUUUUUUAAUAUUUUUAUUACAUAUUUUCCUCAAUUACAUUUCCAAUGCUAUCCCAAAAGUCCCCCAUACCCCCCCACUCCCCUAACCACCCAUUGCCAUUUUUUUUUUGGCCCUGGCGUUCCCCUGUACUGGGGCAUAUACAGUUUGCAUGUCCAAUGGGCCUCUCUUUGCAGUGAUGGCCGACUAGGCCAUCUUUUGAUACAUAUGCAGCUAGAGUCAAGAGCUCCGGGGUACUGGUUAGUUCAUAAUGUUGUUCCACCUAUAGGGUUGCAGUUCCCAUUAGCUCCUUGGGUACUUUCUCUAGCUCCUCCAUUGAGAGCCCUGUGAUCCAUCCAAUAGCUGACUGAUUUUUCUUUAAUUGAGACAAGUUCUCUGUAAUCUAGUCUUCUUGGAGCUCAAUGUGCAAUCCAGACUGGCUGUGAAAUUCUUCUGUCCCAUUAUUUCUGCCUAGCACUUCCAUAUGCUAAGGGCUUUUUCAUCACAGAAAGUAACAUGGGCUAAGGGAUGGCUUGAUGGCUCAGAUACUUGGUGCUCUUUCAGAGGAUUUGAGUUUAUAGUUCCCAGCACCCACACUGGGCAGUUCAAACCACAUUGUAACUACUGCUCCUUAAACCAAUGUUUUUCUUUUCUACUCUCUGUGAGCACACAAAUGGAAUACACACACACACACACACACACACACACACACACACACACACACACAAAUAAAGCAAGUAUGUCUUUAAAAUCACUAUAAGUCACAUCCGGUGCUUUGCAUGAGGUUUUCAACUGCCAUAUAUACAGCUGAGAAAAGAGCUAUGUCUUCGAGGCCCACUAAGCCACAGAGAGGAAAGGACCACUGGCCUGGAACACAGGUGGGAGAUCUUGGUUUCAAAAUCUUUUUCUAUAUUUAAAAAUAUAUAAAUCAGUGGCUCUUAAAACUGGAUUGUUAUUUACAUAGCAACUGAGAAGCAUUUCGACUUCUGUGCCAAUACGUGUGCCUAGGUAUUGCAAUUUACUUUUUAAAAACAACUAAAAAGGCAUUCAGAAGGAGAAACAUAAAUAUAAAAAAUUAUAAAUAUAAAGUAUAUAAAAUAUAAAAAUAUAAAAAAUUACCUGAAGAGGGAAAAAUACAUCUUAUGUACUGUGAAUAUUUAUAAAAAUGGACUGAUGUAUUUUAAUAUCAGACUGAUGUAUUUUAAAUAUAUGUAUUCAUAUAUCAAAUGUAUUAGAGAAUAAACAACAAAAAUAAGUGUUGUUCAAACCAAUAUCAUUCAUUAUCUAUAAGUCAAUGUUCAUUCACUACACAGAAAAUUAUUAAUUUUUAAAAAAUUUAUAAGAAUUAAUAAACAUUAUUAAGCCUCAACUUACUUAUCUUGAUUAUAAACACACACAUAUACAAACACAAACACAUAUUACAAUAGAGUAAUCAAUAUCAUAUAUAGUAUAUAUUGGAUAGGUAAUUAUGUUUUAGUUUUUACUUUUAUUAGAAUUGAAGUAAAGAAAGCUCAUAGUCUUCAUUUACAUAAGUAACAGAAACCUGUAUAAGUAACAUAACUUCAUCCAAACUAAACUAAUUGGACAAAACAACUACAAUGAAAGAGUGUGGUUUCUUCCACAAAGAAUUUGAGAGGUAAUCUCUAGUAAAAAUAGAAAAAAAAAAAUGAAGCUAAGGCUGUUCCACAGCCCUCUACACCCAAAUACCACUAAGAGAGAGCUGGACUCCCAGGAGUGCUCUCACGCCUAAGCCCACACAGGUGAGAAUACCACUUUUGCUCCAAUAACUGUUCAAAGAAGGACCUGCCAGGAGCACACAGAGCACAGGAACAGCAGAGCAUCUGGGCACAUGAUCCUUUAGGUCUCCAUCUGUAGGCCAGAGCUAAGGGUGUCACACAGCCUUUUGUACCCAAAUUCCACCCAAGAGAGGGCUGGUCUCCCCAGGAAUGCUAAUACACGUAAGAUCAUAGACUAACAGGCCCACAGAAGGGACAAGAUCCAGUCAGAGACAGCAAGACCAAAUAACACCAAGACAACCAGAUGGUGAGAGGCAAGCACAAGAACUUAAGCAACUUAAAACAAGGUUCCUUGACAUCAUCAGAACCCAGUUUUUCCACCAGAACAAACCCUUGAUACCCCAAUGCAGCAGAGAAGCAAGUUUCAAAUUUGAAAUCACACCUCAUGGUGAUGAUAGAGGACUUUAAGGAGGACAUAAAUAACUACCU